Molecule: non-coding RNA, 101 nt
Filed under: unclassified sequences
Description: PhotoRC-II RNA
Rfam family: PhotoRC-II RNA
Source: RNAcentral
UCACCCUGAGUACAACUGCUCUUAAACCGAGACCUAUAGGCAGUAUAAGUAUUAGUCUCUCAUAUCCUGUAGUGAAGGGAUUACAGGAAAUAUAGUAUCGC